RNAcentral lists this ribosomal RNA (437 nucleotides) under uncultured bacterium. RNAcentral describes it as "partial 16S ribosomal RNA". It matches the Rfam family "Bacterial small subunit ribosomal RNA", at positions 29 to 507 of the family's 1533-position model. The record is from RNAcentral.
AGCGAACGCUGGCGGCAGGCUUAACACAUGCAAGUCGAGCGGGCACCUUUCGGGGUGUCAGCGGCGGACGGGUGAGUAACGCGUGGGAACGUGCCCUCUGGUUCGGAAUGACUCAGGGAAACUUGAGCUAAUACCGGAUACGCCCUUUUGGGGAAAGGCUUGCUGCCGGAGGAUCGGCCCGCGUCUGAUUAGCUAGUUGGUGAGGUAACGGCUCACCAAGGCGACGAUCAGUAGCUGGUCUGAGAGGAUGAUCAGCCACACUGGGACUGAGACACGGCCCAGACUCCUACGGGAGGCAGCAGUGGGGAAUAUUGGACAAUGGGCGCAAGCCUGAUCCAGCCAUGCCGCGUGAGUGAUGAAGGCCUUAGGGUUGUAAAGCUCUUUUAUCCGGGACGAUAAUGACGGUACCGGAGGAAUAAGCCCCGGCUAACUUCGUG